This 1431-nucleotide ribosomal RNA is filed under the name uncultured organism. RNAcentral's name for it is "16S ribosomal RNA". It matches the Rfam family "Bacterial small subunit ribosomal RNA". The record is from RNAcentral.
GGCGUGCUUAACACAUGCAAGUCGAACGGAAAGGCCCUGCUUUUGUGGGGUGCUCGAGUGGCGAACGGGUGAGUAACACGUGAGUAACCUGCCCUUGACUUUGGGAUAACUUCAGGAAACUGGGGCUAAUACCGGAUAGGAGCUCCUGCUGCAUGGUGGGGGUUGGAAAGUUUCGGCGGUUGGGGAUGGACUCGCGGCUUAUCAGCUUGUUGGUGGGGUAGUGGCUUACCAAGGCUUUGACGGGUAGCCGGCCUGAGAGGGUGACCGGCCACAUUGGGACUGAGAUACGGCCCAGACUCCUACGGGAGGCAGCAGUGGGGAAUAUUGCACAAUGGGCGGAAGCCUGAUGCAGCAACGCCGCGUGCGGGAUGACGGCCUUCGGGUUGUAAACCGCUUUCGCCUGUGACGAAGCGUGAGUGACGGUAAUGGGUAAAGAAGCACCGGCUAACUACGUGCCAGCAGCCGCGGUGAUACGUAGGGUGCGAGCGUUGUCCGGAUUUAUUGGGCGUAAAGGGCUCGUAGGUGGUUGAUCGCGUCGGAAGUGUAAUCUUGGGGCUUAACCCUGAGCGUGCUUUCGAUACGGGUUGACUUGAGGAAGGUAGGGGAGAAUGGAAUUCCUGGUGGAGCGGUGGAAUGCGCAGAUAUCAGGAGGAACACCAGUGGCGAAGGCGGUUCUCUGGGCCUUUCCUGACGCUGAGGAGCGAAAGCGUGGGGAGCGAACAGGCUUAGAUACCCUGGUAGUCCACGCUGUAAACGGUGGGUACUAGGUGUGGGGUCCAUUCCACGGGUUCCGUGCCGUAGCUAACGCUUUAAGUACCCCGCCUGGGGAGUACGGCCGCAAGGCUAAAACUCAAAGGAAUUGACGGGGCCCCGCACAAGCGGCGGAGCAUGCGGAUUAAUUCGAUGCAACGCGUAGAACCUUACCUGGGUUUGACAUGGAUCGGGAGUGCUCAGAGAUGGGUGUGCCUCUUUUGGGGUCGGUUCACAGGUGGUGCAUGGCUGUCGUCAGCUCGUGUCGUGAGAUGUUGGGUUAAGUCCCGCAACGAGCGCAACCCUUGUUCACUGUUGCCAGCACGUUAUGGUGGGGACUCAGUGGAGACCGCCGGGGUCAACUCGGAGGAAGGUGGGGAUGACGUCAAGUCAUCAUGCCCCUUAUGUCCAGGGCUUCACGCAUGCUACAAUGGCUGGUACAGAGAGUGGCGAGCCUGUGAGGGUGAGCGAAUCUCGGAAAGCCGGUCUCAGUUCGGAUUGGGGUCUGCAACUCGACCUCAUGAAGUCGGAGUCGCUAGUAAUCGCAGAUCAGCAACGCUGCGGUGAAUACGUUCCCGGGGCUUGUACACACCGCCCGUCAAGUCAUGAAAGUUGGUAACACCCGAAGCCGGUGGCCUAACCGUUGUGGGGGAGCCGUCGAAGGUGGGACUGGUGAUUAGG